Molecule: small nuclear RNA, 129 nt
Filed under: Suricata suricatta (meerkat)
Lineage: Eukaryota; Metazoa; Chordata; Mammalia; Carnivora; Herpestidae
Description: U4 spliceosomal RNA (ENSSSUG00005012580.1)
Rfam family: U4 spliceosomal RNA
About the family: U4 small nuclear RNA (U4 snRNA) is a component of the major U2-dependent spliceosome. The structure of U4 snRNA from yeast and human has been reported.
Source: Rfam by way of RNAcentral
AGCUUUGCGCAGUGGCAGUAUCGUAGCCAAUGAGGUUUAUCCGAGGCGCGAUUAUUGCUAAUUAAAUGUUACACUAUUUUAGUUUUGGUCUAACAAAAAAGUACUGAGUCUUUACUAAGCACUGAUGCU